RNA transcript from Nasonia vitripennis (jewel wasp), 2205 nucleotides. It is a transcript of the gene named serine/threonine-protein kinase S6KL, with no coding region annotated. The record is from RefSeq and is a predicted model, not a curated record. NCBI's taxonomy places the organism in Eukaryota, Metazoa, Arthropoda, Insecta, Hymenoptera, Pteromalidae. The transcript has 11 exons.
GUGCCGCUUGUUACCGCCUGUCGGGAAGAAACUCGUUCAACGCGAAGAAGUUCCGGGAAGUGCCAGUAGCUGCCGGACAAAGGACCUUGGGCGGCAUUUCGAAGAUCUGUCAAACGGGCAUUAGCGUGUUUACGUGACCGAGAUUGUUUAUUAAUUCGAUUAUUGGACAUCGCUGUUUGUUGUUUCGGUGCCAAGCUCGCGUCCAUGUGACUUUGUGCGAAGUGCCGUUUGUCGAGCAGAAUCUGCUAAAUGUAUUGUGAGGUCGGGCACGAGGUUAUCGUAGAAUUAAAUUUGGACUUUGUGGGCGGAUUCGUUUUUAGAUCGAAUGGGAAAUUCAAACACAAAGAAAUACCACUAUGCUCAUCGACAAUAUGCCAGUCAGUAUAGCAUCAGCGAUAUCCUUGGGGGACAGUGUGUUGGGACUCCUAGAGCUUCUUGUGAGGAAUUGAGGCCUUGGUCACGAUUCUCUCGUAGAAGUUGGAGUGACAACACUUUGAAUAACCCACUUAGUUUAUCCAAGACUGCGUGGCCUGUGCCAAGAUUCGAAGCUAUCUUUUUACCUGAGUUUCCAGUCAAAGAAACACCACUGAAGAAUGAAUAUGUGUUCAUUGAUAUUAUUUCUAAGGGGGCCUAUGGUCGAGUAUACAAAGUUCAGAAGAAGGAGACAAGAGAAGUUUUUGCUUUGAAGAUAAUUAGUAAAGCCCAAAUAGUUGCUGAGAAUUCCAUUGAUCAAGCAAAACAAGAGGUGUCUAUACAGAGAGCAGUUGGUCAUCAUACUUUUAUUGCUAAUUCUCCGUAUCAUUGGCAAGGAAGAAAGACAUUGUAUAUUUUGACACAAUUUAUUGGAGGUGGUGAAUUAUUUUCUCUAGUCGAAGAAUAUGGCUGUUUAUCAGAAGAUGUAGUUAGGAUAUACAUUGGGGAGAUAGCUCUUGCUUUAGAUUUCUUACACAAUGCUGGAAUCAUUCAUAGAGAUCUAAAGGCGUCCAAUAUUUUACUAGACAAUGAGGGCCAUGCAAUGCUAAUUGAUUUUGGUUUAGCAAAGUGGCUUCGACCAUUGCAACGAACAGGGACCUUUUGUGGAACAUUCGAAUAUAUGGCUCCUGAAAUCGUAAAGAGACAGUAUUAUGGACAUGAAGCAGACUGGUGGUCGUUGGGUGUGCUGGCUUGCUUUCUUCUUACAAAUCAGGUGAGUUAACCGCUACCAGAUCCGACGUUAUACCUAAGUCAAACAUCCGAAAAGCUCGAAGGACGAGCCAACCGUUCGCAAAUACCCAACUCCAUCGUUGUCGUCGCUCAAACGAUUCUCAAAUAGAAGUCCGCUCUCGACAGUCUCGUUCUCAGCUCUCUGUUAUCACGACGACGACGACGACGACGACGACGACGAGGAGGAGGCGGGAGGAUCUUUAGCGCACUACUCGUCCUUCGUCAAAUAUCCAGGUAAAAAUAUAACGAGCGACCUCUUGGAGAACGAGGAGUACAAGGCCGUGAGUUUUGGGACUCUGCCCGAGAGCGCGGAGAGCAGCUUGUCUCCAGGCGCGAUCGAUCUGCUGAAAAGGCUGCUACAGCCCGAGCCAAGAUUGCGGAUUAAAUCGGUCCUGGCUCUUCAGCGAAUCGCCUUCUACAUGGGUCACGACAUUAGGAGUUACACUCUCAAGAAGGUAUCGCCGUUUCAACUCCUCGGCAAAAGGAUCGAGUCGACGCUAACGUCGCUGGUUGACGACUUUAACGAUUUCGAUUCCUUUGUUGGAGCUGGCAGCACGACUCGCACCUGGGCACAGUCGACGAGGAGUGGAUAGCAGAAGGCCUAACGAUUGGAGAGACCUUACGAAAUCUGUUUACUUUGUGAUAUUUUGAUGAAUGAUUUGCAGCCGUCCUUUGAUACCUCACCAGUAGAUAUUAAUUUGGCAUUAACUUUUCUUAGCUAUUCUUUAGCGUUAACUCUGAAGCGAAGACUUAUAAACUUGUUGUGUGGAAAGAAAUCCUGCUGGUAUUCCACUAAGUACAAAUUAAUUUUUAUAUGCGUAAUUUAGUGAACUUUCGUACACGAUUAAUCAUGAUUUAUAGCAAUGUUGAUAUUUUCGAAAAUCGGAUAGUAUUUUAUUUUCGUUUGAUGUUGUUGUGAACGAUAAUCGAAUCAAAGGCAUCGAUGAUAAUGUAGGCCAAAAUACAUUUACAAUAAAAUAUUUUGAUGAUUAUUUCCUGUAA